GCGACGAGAGGUAGAAGCACAGGGCGAAGAUGAGCCACCAGCUGGCGGCGCACAAGCUCAGUUUUUUUAGCAGAACGAGAUCAAACCCAGAAGGAAAUAAGGGAGUGAGAGCAAUUCACGCGAGCGCAGGCGCGCAGUUCAAUUAACUUAAUUGCCAUGUAAUUACGCGCAACAGCAGCGGCAACAAUAACAAUAACAGCAGCAACAAGAGCAGCAACAUUAACAACAAUAACAGCAUCACCAACAAGCAAUAACAAAAGGAACAACAACAACUCAGCCAGCUUCACCAUCAUCUUCAACAUCCUGCCGCCACAGCAAAAAGCAGGCAAAAAGCAAAAAGAAAACGGAAAAAGCAAAAAGGCAAAACAAAAGACUUAAGGCACAAACCUGCUGCUGCUUUGACUGAGCCUCAUCUCUUUCUUGAACUUCUGAAGGCACUGAGAUACGAAGAGCACACAUACGCACUGUGGAAAUAUUAUAUUUUCUGGUGACAUGUCCAAGAUCGGUCUGAUACAUGCAUCACGAGCACCUUUUGGCUGGAAAUUACGUUUAGACCUGGCUAAUACUACUACUUCCCACAUUAAAGUAAACUUCCCUUCCGUUUGAUGUGAAAUCGAGAGAGAGAGAGGAGCAAGAUUAUUUUUUGAGCUGUUUAGCUAUCUGAUUUUUUCAAUUUUCUUUGAUCUGCGCCAACGUGCUUCCGAUUCGAUUUGUUUGUUCGGUUCGAUUCGGUUUGGUCUGCUUUCGUUUUUAUUGCCACUUGAGGCUGCUGCUGCUGCUGCCGCCUUUGUCUUUCAACGAAAGAAAAAUCGAGAGAAGAUCGGACAAUGCAUUUUAUUUUCUUUCUGGAGAUAAAAAGAAAAUACAAAGUAGGCGGCAACGCGCUCGGCAAACGCCCCACAAAAAGAAAAUACAAAAACUAAAUGGAGAGAAAAAGGUGAGAUGCAGCCAGAUCUAUG
Long non-coding RNA from Drosophila serrata, 959 nucleotides. Lineage: Eukaryota; Metazoa; Arthropoda; Insecta; Diptera; Drosophilidae. The record is from RefSeq and is a predicted model, not a curated record.